CCUACGGGUGGCAGCAGUGGGGGAUAUUGCACAAUGGGGGAAACCCUGAUGCAGCGACGCCGCGUGAGUGAAGAAGUAUUUCGGGAUGUAAAGCUCUAUCAGCAGGGAAGAAAAAAGACGGUACCUGACUAAGAAGCACCGGCUAAAUACGUGCCAGCAGCCGCGGUAAUACGUAGGGGGCAAGCGUUAUCCGGAUUUACUGGGGGUAAAGGGAGCGUAGGCGGCAAUACAAGUCGGAAGUGAAAUACCCGGGCUCAACCUGGGAACUGCUUUGGAAACUGGAUGGCUAGAGUGCUGGAGAGGGAGGCAGAAUUCCUGGUGUAGCGGUGAAAUGCGUAGAGAUUAGGAGGAACACCAGUGGCGAAGGCGGCUUACUGGACAGAGACUGACGUUGAGGCGCGAAAGCGUGGGGAGCAAACAGGAUUAGAUACCCGAGUAGUC
This 441-nucleotide ribosomal RNA is filed under the name uncultured bacterium. RNAcentral describes it as "partial 16S ribosomal RNA". It matches the Rfam family "Bacterial small subunit ribosomal RNA", at positions 338 to 795 of the family's 1533-position model. The record is from RNAcentral.